This 516-nucleotide long non-coding RNA is filed under the name Oryza sativa Indica Group (long-grained rice). RNAcentral's name for it is "lncRNA OsMH63_04G002050". Lineage: Eukaryota; Viridiplantae; Streptophyta; Magnoliopsida; Poales; Poaceae. The record is from RNAcentral.
GGUGACAAGAAACAAGUGAAGCUAAAGGUUCGGGGUGCAAGCGAGACUGAGGUCAAGAAUGUGGAGGUGCGAGGGACUGUGGAUGUGGGGAAGCUGUACGAACGCCUCAAGAAGAUGGCAUCCAGUGUCAAGAUUGAAUCGGUUAUUCCGGAUGAUGUAAAGGAAGAAAUAGAGAGAUACAAGAAAGACCUUGAAAGAAUGAAGAGACAGAAGGAAGAUCUAGAGAUAAAACUAAGGGAAAAAAGGGAAGAAAAAAAGGUUCUCCAGGCCGACAAAACAGCUGCCGAGGAAGAGCAGAAAAGAUUGAAGAGAGACAAAGAAAAUCUCAAUUUAAAGGGAGGGACAUCAAUUGAGUAUCACGGCGUGGAGGUGCAUCAGAAGAUGAAUCAUAUGCAUCAGGAGGUACACAUGCAUGAAGUCGUUCGCAAGCUUAAGAUAUCGGACAACGAUCAUGGAAACGCUAAUGGGAGGGGGCAUGGACAACUCCUGCAGCAGCUUGGCCACGGAAGAAAUUGA